Molecule: ribosomal RNA, 920 nt
Filed under: uncultured bacterium
Lineage: Bacteria
Description: bacterial SSU rRNA
Rfam family: Bacterial small subunit ribosomal RNA
Source: RNAcentral
GGCAGCACGGAGCUUGCUCUGGUGGCGAGUGGCGAACGGGUGAGUAAUGCGUCGGAACGUAUCCAAUAAUGGGGGAUAACGCAGCGAAAGCUGUGCUAAUACCGCAUACGCCCUCCGGGGGAAAGCAGGGGAUCGUAAGACCUUGCGUUAAUGGAGCGGCCGACGUCUGAUUAGCUAGUUGGUAGGGUAAAGGCCUACCAAGGCGACGAUCAGUAGCUGGUCUGAGAGGAUGAUCAGCCACACUGGGACUGAGACACGGCCCAGACUCCUACGGGAGGCAGCAGUGGGGAAUUUUGGACAAUGGGCGCAAGCCUGAUCCAGCCAUUCCGCGUGAGUGAAGAAGGCCUUCGGGUUGUAAAGCUCUUUCAGGAGGGAAGAAACGAUUGUGGCUAAUACCCAUGAUUAAUGACGGUACCUUCAGAAGAAGCACCGGCUAACUACGUGCCAGCAGCCGCGGUAAUACGUAGGGUGCGAGCGUUAAUCGGAAUUACUGGGCGUAAAGCGUGCGCAGGCGGUUUUUCAAGUCUGAUGUGAAAUCCCCGGGCUUAACCUGGGAACUGCGUUGGAAACUGAAAGACUAGAGUGCGGCAGAGGGGGGUAGAAUUCCACGUGUAGCAGUGAAAUGCGUAGAUAUGUGGAGGAAUACCGAUGGCGAAGGCAGCCCCCUGGGUCGACACUGACGCUCAUGCACGAAAGCGUGGGUAGCAAACAGGAUUAGAUACCCUGGUAGUCCACGCCCUAAACGAUGUCAACUAGUUGUUGGGGANGGAGANCUCCUUAGUAACGCAGCUAACGCGUGAAGUUGACCGCCUGGGGAGUACGGUCGCAAGAUUAAAACUCAAAGGAAUUGACGGGGGCCCGCACAAGCGGUGGAUUAUGUGGAUUNAUUCGAUGCNNCGCGAAAAACCUUACCUACCCNU